UCCUGCCGACAGCAUGAGCAGUGGCUUGUUCAGAGGUGGAAGCGCAAUGCUGUGCUGUGCUUUAAAUGUGGCUGGAGUCAUGGACCGGGCAGAGGAUGUUGGUAAAGCAGUGGAGAGGGGCAGAAGCAGUGUGGGACCAGCUUCUGUUUGCCAAGCCACACUGAGGAGUGAAAGGAAGAGCCCUGAGAGUUGUGUUGCUCCUUUGAAAGUGGCCCUAGGACUGUAAACCAAAAGUCAUGGAUUCUCUGCAAGAUUUUCCACUGAUCUCAGUCAUUUG
Molecule: long non-coding RNA, 277 nt
Filed under: Corvus moneduloides (New Caledonian crow)
Lineage: Eukaryota; Metazoa; Chordata; Aves; Passeriformes; Corvidae
Description: lncRNA (ENSCMUG00000019520.1)
Source: RNAcentral